AAUAUGUUAGUUUAAUUAAAACAUUAAAUUGUAAAUUUAAAAAUAUAUUUUGCAUAUUA
This 59-nucleotide transfer RNA is filed under the name Hirudo verbana. RNAcentral's name for it is "tRNA-Tyr". Lineage: Eukaryota; Metazoa; Annelida; Clitellata; Hirudinida; Hirudinidae. The record is from RNAcentral.